Molecule: ribosomal RNA, 894 nt
Filed under: uncultured eukaryote
Lineage: Eukaryota
Description: bacterial SSU rRNA
Rfam family: Eukaryotic small subunit ribosomal RNA
Source: RNAcentral
GCUCGUAGAUAGAUUUCUGGGUCGGAGCCGCCGGCCCGGCACUUCGGUGCUGUGUUGUUGGUUGGCUCUACCCAUCUUUUCGGCACAACCAGCUUGCUCUUCACUGAGUGAGUUGGCGAUGCUGAUCUUUUACUUUGAAAAAAUUAGAGUGUUCAAAGCAGGCUUAUUGCUGUGAAUACAUUAGCAUGGAAUAAUAAUAUAGGACUUCUGUCUUAUUUUGUUGGUUUCUAAGAUGGAAGUAAUGAUUGAUAGGGAUAGUUGGGGGUGCUCGUAUUCAGCGGCCAGAGGUGAAAUUCUAUGAUUCGCUGAAGACGAACUUAUGCGAAAGCAUUCACCAAGGAUGUCUUCUUUAAUCCAAGAACGAAAAGUUGGGGGAUCGAAAGACGAUCAGAUACCCGUCGUGGGUCUCAAACCAUAAACGAUGCCGACUCGGGGAUCGGGUGGACGUUUAUUCAUAUGGACUUCCAUUCGGCACCCGCACGGAGAAAAUCCAAAGUCUUUUGGGUUCCGGGGGGGAGGUAUGGGUCGCAAGGCUGGAAACUUAAAAGGAAUUUGACGGGAAGGGCACCCCAAAGAAGUGGGAGCCUUGCGGUUUAAUUUUGACUCAACACGGGGAAAACUUACCAGGUCCAGACAUAGUGAGGAUUGACAGGUUGAAGAUCUUUCUUGAAUUCUAUUGGGUGGGGGUGCAUGGCCGUUCUUAGUUGGUGGAUUGAUCUGUCUGGGUUAAUUCCGAUUAACGAAACGAGACCUCAGCCUGCUAAAAUAGUGGACGUCGGCUUGCCGGCGGCAAUCAGCUUCUUAGAGGGACUAUUGGUGUGUAGCCAAUGGAAGAAUUGAGGCAAUAACAGGUCCGUGAUGCCCUUAGAUGGUUUCUGGGCCGCACGCGCGCUA